This 702-nucleotide long non-coding RNA is filed under the name Ursus maritimus (polar bear). RNAcentral's name for it is "lncRNA (ENSUMAG00000011372.1)". Lineage: Eukaryota; Metazoa; Chordata; Mammalia; Carnivora; Ursidae. The record is from RNAcentral.
CGGGAGCCGCGUAUCCCCGCGUCUCAGGCGGGCAAACGAGCCCAAAGAGAUGCCAGAUUCUGAAUGAGAAAGUGACCUAAAUUGAAGAAAGCAGCUUGUGUUACAACAUACGGCAGCAGAGAUCGGGGACCAGAGGUAGCAAUUUAGGAGGGCUGCUGCUGACCCAGGAGCGAUUGUACUCUUCACUCUCAAAGCUUCCCGCAUGUCUGGGUCAUCUGGCUCUUACAGAUAAUGGAGUGUGUUGUGUGGCUGUCAAAUUUGUUAUGAAGGAUCUUUAUUCGGAAAGAUGUAGUUUUUUAAUCUGCAAAUAAAAAAUACUAAAGGGAAAUGCACUAACAUAUUGAGUGGUUAUUUCUGAGUGGUGGGGAUGUGACUAAUUUUUCUUAUUGUCUGUUUACUAUAAUAAGCUUAUAUAAAUUUAUCAGUAAAGAAAAACGUUAUUUAAAAAGGCUAAUAAUGGGGUGCCGGGGUGGCUCACUUGGUUAAGUGUCUCCCUUCGGCUCAGGUCAUGAUCCUGGGGUCCUGAGAUCGAGCGCAUGGGCUCCCUGCUCAGCGGGGAGUCUGCUUCUCCCUUUGCCCUUCCCCCUGCUCAUGCUGUCUCUCAAAUAUAUAACUCUUAAAAAAAAAAAAAAGACUAAUAAUGGGAGAAACGCUACGACUUAGAGAAUUGGCCUUCUCUGCUGUUACGGUUUUCAGAUAGAA